This 188-nucleotide non-coding RNA is filed under the name marine eukaryotic metagenome. RNAcentral describes it as "6S / SsrS RNA". It matches the Rfam family "6S / SsrS RNA". Rfam says of the family: E. coli 6S RNA was the first non coding RNA to be sequenced, but its function was unknown until recently. It consists of 184 nucleotides that fold into an extended hairpin structure with a large single-stranded internal bulge. The 6S RNA specifically associates with RNA polymerase holoenzyme containing the sigma70 specificity factor. The record is from RNAcentral.
CCCCUGCAGUGUUCGUGAUGGUCCAGGAGUCUUGGUUUGAACCAACGCUUUACCUAAGUGAGCUGCGAUGUUUCGUGGUGUGCACGCCUCCGCGCGAGGUAGCCUAAAGCGAGACUGGUUGUAUUCAGAGCGGCUCCACCUGCUUUGAGCAGGUUCAUCCGACCUCCCCACACGGCAACGCGGGGCUU